GAUGAACGCUGGCGGCGUGCCUAACACAUGCAAGUCGAACGGAGAUUACGGACGGAAGUUUUCGGAUGGAAGCCUGUAAUUCUUAGUGGCGGACGGGUGAGUAACGCGUGGGCAACCUGCCCUAUACAGGGGGAUAGCAGCUGGAAACGGCUGGUAAGACCGCAUAAGUCGGUUAAAUCGCAUGAUUUGAUCGGGAAAUGAGCAAUCAGGUAUAGGAUGGGCCCGCGUCCGAUUAGCCAGUUGGCAGGGUAAAAGCCUACCAAAGCGACGAUCGGUAGCCGGACUGAGAGGUCGGACGGCCACAUUGGGACUGAGACACGGCCCAAACUCCUACGGGAGGCAGCAGUGGGGGAUAUUGCACAAUGGAGGAAACUCUGAUGCAGCGACGCCGCGUGAGCGAAGAAGUAUUUCGGUAUGUAAAGCUCUAUCAGCAGGGAAGAUGAUGACGGUACCUGACUAAGAAGCCCCGGCUAACUACGUG
RNAcentral lists this ribosomal RNA (481 nucleotides) under uncultured bacterium. RNAcentral's name for it is "partial 16S ribosomal RNA". It matches the Rfam family "Bacterial small subunit ribosomal RNA", at positions 28 to 507 of the family's 1533-position model. The record is from RNAcentral.